UACAGAGGUCCCAAGCGUUGUUCGGAUUCACUGGGCGUAAAGGGUGCGUAGGCGGUCGGGUAAGUCUGAUGUGAAAUCUCCAAGCUCAACUUGGAAAUGGCAUCGGAUACUAUUCGGCUCGAGGAAUGGAGGGGAGACUGGAAUACUUGGUGUAGCAGUGAAAUGCGUAGAUAUCGUAAGGAAGACCAGUGGCGAAGGCGGGUCUCUGGACAGUUCCUGACGCUGAGGCACGAAGGUCAGGGGAGCAAACGGG
This 253-nucleotide ribosomal RNA is filed under the name uncultured bacterium. RNAcentral's name for it is "partial 16S ribosomal RNA". It matches the Rfam family "Bacterial small subunit ribosomal RNA", at positions 524 to 776 of the family's 1533-position model. The record is from RNAcentral.